CGCCGGUCCCCUCGCGACGACAAGUUGUGAACCCCGUCAGGCCCGGAAGGGAGCAGCGGCAGCAGCGGACUCGGGCGCCGGGGUGUGGCUGGUAGGG
RNAcentral lists this signal recognition particle RNA (97 nucleotides) under Gammaproteobacteria bacterium. RNAcentral's name for it is "signal recognition particle sRNA small type". It matches the Rfam family "Bacterial small signal recognition particle RNA". From Rfam's summary of the family: The signal recognition particle (SRP) is a universally conserved ribonucleoprotein involved in the co-translational targeting of proteins to membranes. Archaeal SRP consists of a 7S RNA and homologues of the eukaryotic SRP19 and SRP54 proteins. In most bacteria, the SRP consists of a 4.5S RNA and the Ffh protein (a homologue of the eukaryotic SRP54 protein). Lineage: Bacteria; Pseudomonadati; Pseudomonadota; Gammaproteobacteria. The record is from RNAcentral.